UAUCACGUGCGAUCGCCGAAGUUAAGCAACGUUGAGCCUGGUUAGUACUUAGAAGGGUGACCGCUUGGGAAUAUCAGGUGUUGUAAG
Molecule: non-coding RNA, 87 nt
Organism: Acanthosepion pharaonis
Lineage: Eukaryota; Metazoa; Mollusca; Cephalopoda; Sepiida; Sepiidae
Source: the annotation of a GenBank genome assembly